UUAGCCGGAGCUAUGAGCCGCGCUUGGUGGCGUUGGCAACAUAAGUACGUGCAACCAAAGCGGGCUGGUAUCGCACCAUUUUUCCAAAUAACUGUUGCGGCUAUGACUUUCUUCUAUGUCAUCAAUUAUGGCAAAAUGAGACAUCACAGGAACUAUAA
This is a non-coding RNA of Glossina palpalis gambiensis, 158 nucleotides long. NCBI's taxonomy places the organism in Eukaryota, Metazoa, Arthropoda, Insecta, Diptera, Glossinidae. The record is from Rfam.